UCAAGGUAGGGACUGAUCUCUGAAAUAUUAGUGAAUAGAAAGGCCCCAUGUGUAUUAUCAGUCAUGGUUAACAGAUAACUACCAUUUAAUACAAUUUUGUUCCCCCUCUCGCACACCACCCACCUCACUAUGGGCCAGGAACGGCAGUCCCUCCUCAACUCCCUCCACCCCCACACCAGCCCUCAACGUGCAGCGAACAAAGGAGCUUUGUGCUGUGAGGAAAAACAUGGUGACACGGUCUGCCACGGACACUGAGGUCACCAAACACGCAAUCAGGUGUUUCAACCGGCGGUGGAUCAGGCAACGAGGAGAUGUGUUCCGCCUCCAUCCACACAAAUGGAGUAAUAGGAGAAAUAAGCAUUAAACAAUCUUUUUAUUGAA
Molecule: long non-coding RNA, 381 nt
Organism: Alosa sapidissima (American shad)
Lineage: Eukaryota; Metazoa; Chordata; Actinopteri; Clupeiformes; Clupeidae
Exons: 2
Source: RefSeq, a predicted model, not a curated record